UUUUACAGUUACAGACCUGUAAUGAUUUGCGAAGAUGAUCGCAAUUAAUUGAACAUCUAAGGGACUAAGUAGUU
RNAcentral lists this small nucleolar RNA (74 nucleotides) under Solanum tuberosum (potato). Its description in RNAcentral is "Small nucleolar RNA SNORD25". It matches the Rfam family "Small nucleolar RNA SNORD25". From Rfam's summary of the family: U25 is a member of the C/D class of snoRNA which contain the C (UGAUGA) and D (CUGA) box motifs. U25 is found in gene clusters in plants, and within the U22 snoRNA host gene (UHG) in mammals. U25 is thought to as a 2'-O-ribose methylation guide for ribosomal RNA. Lineage: Eukaryota; Viridiplantae; Streptophyta; Magnoliopsida; Solanales; Solanaceae. The record is from Rfam by way of RNAcentral.